Molecule: RNA transcript, 6719 nt
Organism: Gopherus flavomarginatus (Mexican gopher tortoise)
Lineage: Eukaryota; Metazoa; Chordata; Testudines; Testudinidae
Gene: LAYN
Gene name: layilin
Exons: 9
Source: RefSeq, a predicted model, not a curated record
UGGAACAUUAUGGUUUGGAAAGCAUAUCCUGAUUAACUGCAGUGAGUUCCAUGAAGCUAUUAUGCACCUCCCAAGUGGGCAGACAGUUUGCCGGGGUGGAACUCAGCGACCGUGCUACAAAAUCAUUUAUUUUCAUGAUGCUUUGCGCAGAAUCAGCUUUGAAGAAGCACACCAGGCAUGCAGAAUAGAUGGUGGACAUUUAGUCAGUAUUGAAUCAGAAUCAGAACAGAGACUGAUUGAAAAAUUGAUUGAGAGUCUCUUGGCUUCAGAUGGAGAUUUUUGGAUAGGACUUAGGAGAAAAGAGGAAGACGUGGACAAUAGCACAGAAUGUCAGGGCCUGUAUUCAUGGUCUGAUGGCAGUACAUCCAAAUUUCGGAAUUGGUAUACAGAUGAGCCUUCCUGCGGGAGUGAGAUCUGCGUUGUGAUGUACCACCAGCCCUCUGCCCCGGCAGGUGUUGGAGGUUCCUAUAUGUUUCAGUGGAAUGAUGACAGAUGCAACAUGAAAAAUAACUUCAUUUGCAAAUAUUCUCUUGAAAAACCAACUGCUGCUUCAGAAGAGAACUCACAAGUGGAUGUUGUCACAGGGUCCUUGAAGCCAGCGUUCCCCGAAGAACCCAUUAAGGAAGAUGCCAAUGAAACCCUUAAAGAACCCAGAGAACCUGUUUUGAGUCUUGUCUACAUCUUAAUUCCCAGCAUCCCUCUGCUCCUUCUCCUGAUGGUCAUUACAGCCAUCUUCUGUUUUUGGCUUUUUGCAAAGAGGAAACGAGAGCACAUGGAGAUGAGUCCAAAGGAGCAAGAUGCCUGGAUCUCCCCCCACAGGAAGAACAGUUCCAAUCUGGAGAUUUACAAUGUAAUUAAAAAACAAAUGGAGGCAGAUUUGGCUGGGACCAGGCCAGAUAUUAAGAAUUCUUCCUUCCGCACCCCUUCCGGAGACCACACGUCUGACAACUUCUCCGGAGAUUAUGACAACGUGGCUGUGAAUACUUCAGAGAGCGUUUUUGUGGCAUUGACUAGUACUGAAAGUGGCUUUGUGACCAAUGAGAUCUAUGAGCUGUGCAAUGAUCAGACAGGACAAAGCAAGGAGUCGGCCUGGGUGGAAAACGAAAUAUAUGGAUAUUAAGGAAACUAAAAACACUUGGAUGUGGGUGACAUAGCAAAUAAAAACACAAGUAGUCCCCCACACAUCAUAUUAACAGUGAAUGCAAAAAUGGUGUGUGUCGCAGUGCAUAGUGGUUUCAGAUCACCUCUGUGCUCAUUCAUUUUUUUUAAAGGUUAUGUUAUUUUAAACAGUUAAACACAACAGAUUGUAUUUAGCUUGCCUUGCUUCAAACCGCUAUUCAAUACUGGGAAUGAUCUGUCUUGGUCUUGGUCCUUUUUUUCUUUGGAACUACAAUAUUUCCUGAGCUCCAGACAUGAAAAUAUUUCUACAUCUUUGCAACUAAAAAUCAGUCCAACUUCCAAAUUCUUUGAUUUUGUUGAUGGACCUCAUCCACAUGGAUGUUUUUAAGUCGUACGCCGGUCAUCCUUGCUUUCUCCUAGCUGCACCGGAGAAUGGUGACAGAUUUUUUUUUCCCCUCUCAUGCUCGUGAGCUGUACUGUAUGAAGAUUGAUAAAAUGUCUCUUCUCACUGCAUAAUGAUGACAUGUUGCUAAUCUCAGCAUGGAUGGGAUUACUAAAAAAGCACAUUUACUAAAGUUUCUAAGCAGCUAGGAGAAGUGCAGAGUACACCCAAGCGAUGGAAAUGCUAUGAGGGAACCUGCCAAAUGUCUACGCAAGUGACCCUCCGCUGGAGUUUGUAUCUAAAUUCCCCAAGAACCCACAAGUAUUUAGAUUGGAGCAACAGCGUGAUUGUAAGGGAUGUACCGACAGCUCUGUGUCUGAAUUAAGUUCCUGCUUUAGCGACUAGUGAAUGCGUUAAGAUUACAAUUAUUUUUUUGAACUGUUGAUACAUAAGUGUGAGGCUUUUGUUACCAUGUGAAGCCUAAGACAUGGGCUGUGAGAUGAACUGAAUCUGUCUUAGUUAACAACUGGCAUGUUUUUAAAGCCUUUUGAAGCACAGUAUGAGAUUUAAGACAGCCCUCCGAUCAAAGAAUCGGGAUUAUAUAUUGGAAAUGAAGGUGGGCGUCUUUCUUGCCCCUUCUCUCCAGCAUUUUAGCCCAUUUAGUCUCUUUUCUCCCUGAGAGAAUAAUGUCAGAUAUUGCCUUGAGCCACCUGAAAUGAGUUUGAACACCACAAAGACUUUCCUAGAAAAAACCAAAACCAAGAUGGACAAUGUGCAAACUGUGGAUCUGCCAGUGGGCGAGUAUUCUUUGAGAACUGGCUGCCUGUGACUUUGUACUUAAUACUGCCGAAAAGCCCCUUGUCACGCAUCGAAAGGGCAUUUGAGGGAUUGUAAUGAGGAAGCUAUAAAUCAAAAAGUGACCAAGGAAGUAUUCUCGUUUCCUGUGUAUCUGACAACUGACACAGUUAAAUCUGACUUACUCCAUAAUGGCAAUAAGCUAGUUUCAGUCCUGAUGCAAGUUCUGCUACACAAGUGUGAGCUGUGUGGCUCAAAGCUUGUCUCUCUCACCAGCAGAUAUUGUCCCAAUAAAAGAUAUUACCUUACCCACCUUUGGUAAGCCAAGAGAGAGGCAUUUUCCAAACGCAAGCUAAUGUAUCCCAACGAAGCUUUACCAUGCUAAACCAUCCCAUACAGCAAGCCUAGCUGUAUCUGUUCUGGGAUGCUGAGCAAGAUAUGGCAGGGAGGAGUGGAAUCAGAAUCUGAACUCAGGAGAGAGCAGCACUGAUGACUUGGGGUUUACUAUUAACUUGAUGAUCAUUAGAGCUUUCUAAUGCCUGUGUUUUGCUUGUUUGUGUACAGUCCUUUGAAUUUUUGGAUUAUGGUAAUCACAGCUUCGUGUGCUCCAGGGGAAGCUUGAUAUAAAUAUGUGCCAAGGUUUCUACACUGUUCAGUGCAGCAGACUGGAGCUCUGGUGUCAGCUUCAGAUAAGUGUAAAAAUGGAGAUUCAUAUUUAACUAGGUACAAAAAUGAAUACGCUCGUGGCAGGUUUCCCUUAGCUUUUGAAUAUUAGAUGCCAUUUAUUUCGUGGUCUGUAUGAUGCAGAAUGUGUGGUGGGGGUUUUGGUUUUUGUAUUUGUUUUAAAUGCCUGGCUAAUCUUUUUGAGCUGGCAGGCGGAAGCUGGAGGUUAUUGCAGCUGCAUAGGCAUUUAGGAAGGUGUGGGAGGAAGCUUGCGUUUGUGAGAUAAACGCGCUAACUGGAUGUAAAAAUGAGGCUCAUCUGUGAAAUAUAUUAAUGUGGACUCUGAAAUUUGCAUCAUUAACAUACAAGUUUAACACCCCCUUGAAGUGAAUUGAGGGACAGUUCACUCCUAAGCUUUUGCUUCAGGCUGUCUGCAAAUUCAGGCAGAUAACUUUGCAUUUGGUUCACCUUUGGAAAGUUUUGGACACCACCCUAAGAACGUGAGACAUUCUUUUUUAAGUGUAUGCUUGGGUUGUGGCUCACAAUUUCGCAGCAAGGGAUGGAUUUUGAGGUAAAUUCUGUGGCUGUGGAAGGAGGAAGUGUGGUCUUGACAAAUAGCAAUGUGUCUUCUGAGACCCUCUUUACAGAAUUCUUGUACCUGUUUCGUCCUGCCAAUAACACUUCUGCUGUGAAUAUGUUCAUUCGGUUGGAUUCUGAAAUGUAUAGCAGCCUGCUGGGAACUAUUAUGUCCAUUCUUUUCCAAGUUUAUCCAGAGAGCUGGCUGCACCAAUCUGGGAUUAGACAGUUGUGAUCUAUCUGUUCCUGCAUGCUCUGAUAUCCCGUCAUGGAAGGUUAACAUGCUUGUUUUUAUGUUCUCAUGUUGAAUGUGUCCAGUUCCUGAGAGAUCCCACAGCAUUUCGUAUUGUCUACACUUACACUACUUUCAGUCUGAGUCUGGAGUUGCACGUAUCUCACUGGUCUGACAGUGAACUGGGAGUGUUGAAUAGCAGAGUGCAAGAUACUUGCUGUCUAUUUUAGAGGAGAGGAAGAAUGGUCCAGUGUUUAAGACACUGGACUUGAGACACCUGGGUUCAGUUCUGUACUCUGCCACAGUCUGACCUUGAGCAUGUUAUUCAGCUUCUAUCUCUCUCCAUUCCCCAUAUGUAUAAUGGGGAUAAUAGCACUGCCCUACCUCACAGGGGUGUUGUGAGGAUAAAUACAUUAAAGAUUAUGAGAUGCUCAGAAACGAUGGUAAUGGGGGCCAGAUAAUUACUUAAUAUUUUAAUUCUCUUGUCCACACAGACCUUUGGAACAUCAUGGAAGCUUAUUGAAGAUAAGCUCUUACAUAAGGAUUCGGAAGAGUAUUUGACUCAAUAUGUGGUUUGGUUGAGCAUUUUGCUGGUACAGGAAGCGAUGCUGCUUAUUUACUUGGCUCUUGUUCGUCCUUUUCAAAAUUGAAUUUAAAAAAAUGGUAAAUGCCAUUAAAGCCAAGGCCUGCCAUUCUAUACUGGUGGUAAUAAUACCACCUAGCUCUCGUACAGCACUUGCCAUCCACAGAUUUCAGUGUAAAGUCUGCAUCAGUGUCCUGCUGUUUGCCAGAGGAGCUUUGCUUAAUCACGUUCCUGACUUCUAAACACAGAAGAAUCUGGACUAUAGAGCAGGCAGGAAGUACCACUCACCAUAAUCCACAAAGUGCUGGCCAGUGGAUGUAGUUAGGCUCUAGUCUAAAAUAGAGUUCCAGCCUGCCCUUUUCAGUGUCUCUUAGGUAAGAGCUAUUUAAUAGUCUGUACUUGCCAAGGGUUUCCCUGCAACUGUUGUUGAUUUCUCAGAGGAGUUUUCCCAAUUAAGAGUCUGCACCAAUGUCCCAGGGAGAGGCUUCCAUUGGUCUGGUUAGAUUCAGUAAUUAAAAAAAAUACCAUUUUUUAUAUGUGUACACCAUGCUCUGCAGUAGAUGCAAUGUGCCAGUCAAAUGCCAGUUUCCUGGCUUGGAAGAGCUUUAUCUAAAGGCAUAUUGACUAUAAUAUGGAACUGUACAAAACAAGUAGGAUAGAGCAGCACAGAGCCCAUUGUGUGAUCACGAAAGCCAAAACACUUCCAAAUAAUUUCACAUAAUUGGGAAAACCACGCCUGCUUUAAACUCUGCUUCCCCUAAGAAGCCUCUAAGUAGCUUCUAGCCUUCAGGUAAUUGAUCCACCUGUUUUCUCUCCCAACUAGAAAUCAGGCAGGGGAGGGAGAGUGACACUGUGAGUGAAACAAGUCAGGAAGAGAGGUAGAUACGGACAUACACUGCUCCACGGGUGAGUCUCUCUGGCUAUAAGAGGAAAUCUAAAUAAUUCAUUUGCUACGUUCUGCAGCCAAACAAGACUGGCUCUGAAGCAUCGGAAAUGUCAGUAGCUACUGCCAGAGUUAAUGCAACUUUUAUUUUUUCUGUUGCACUUAAAAAAAAAAAAUCAUGAGAUUGAAGCAAAACCAGUUUGCAGAAGCCACCAGGAAGCAAAGAUGCAUCAAAGGCUUUGGCAGAAGGUGUUUAUAUGGGAGUGAAACAACAACAGAAGUGAGUGCAGGACGUUGCUGUGAGUUGAAUCUGCCAAUAUAAACAUUCAGGGAGCCAGUUCUGGAGCUGUAUGCCACCCAUCAUAUUCACUGCAAACAUUAAAAUAUUUGUAAGCUGCUAUAGCUGUUUCUAUCUCUUCAUAAGUAUUACAGAUUGGGUUGAUAGAGACAGAGGGCCUGUCUUGGAUACCUGGCAGUCUGGGAGAGUGGCUACCAAACAGGAUUCAGUGGCCUGUCACUGACGUUAGUGGUGCAAGUUCAAGCCCCUGAGAGCAGUCCUUGCCAGAAAAGGGCCACUGCCUACCAAUGAUAACCUGCCAGCUGGUUACCAGUGGGGAUAAUGCUAGGCAAUAGCUGCUGAUUGGCAUUAGAAAAGGGGUAUCCACUGAUGGGUUGGCUAACUUCCUGGGAUUCAUUACAUUCAUUAGUGCAUUUUAGUAAGCAGCUGUGUAUGUGUAUUCAUUUUUAUCCUUCAAAUCUUCUUGUCUGUUUUUAGGCAGGCCAUAAGCAUCUUUGAGUCCUUGGAAAAACAAGAAACGAGAGCAAAAAGCUCAAGCGAAAUAUUCAGACUUACGUGUAUAACCUCUUACAUCCAUAUUUUGGUAACUAAAUGAGUGCCCCGCAUCUGAAGCUCUGAUUGAAGUCAGUGAAAGCUUGCUAUGCGUGUUCAGCACCUCUGAAGGUCAGGCCAGGUAUUUAGGUGCUGAAAUAUGGUUGUAAAUGGUUAAUUUUAGUAAACUAAUUUGGAAAAGUUUUGCCUAUUAAAGCUCCCAAGGUUCACUUCUCUAUCUGUAAUGGGACUGAAUAAUACUUUAUCUGUGUUCUUUCCUCAUGUGGAAAUCAAAAUGUUGAAUAUAACGAUGACAGUUACUGACAAGAACAAGUCUCCUUGAAUUUGUCAACUCCUAUCUAGCACUUCAUCUGUGGAGGUCUUUCAUGCCAUUGUUGCAUGAACAAAUUAAAUGUUUAAGUGCUGAAAUACCCAGUGUUCCCUAUUCCUUCAAGUUUGAGGCUGCUUUGAAACUGGAAAGGUGCUUGUAUCAGAGAUAAACAUCAUCAAGGAAACUUUUUAACAGAUGUGAUAUACAUGCACUCACCUCAUAGAUUCAUAGACUCUAGGACUGGAAGGGACCUCGAGAGGUCAUCGAGUCCACUCCCCUGCCCUCAUGGCAGGACCAAAUACUGUCUAGACCAUCCCUGAUAGACA